AUUGAACGCUGGCGGCAUGCCUUACACAUGCAAGUCGAACGGCAGCACGGGAGCAAUCCUGGUGGCGAGUGGCGAACGGGUGAGUAAUAUAUCGGAACGUGCCCGGUCGUGGGGGAUAACGUAGCGAAAGCUACGCUAAUACCGCAUACGAUCUAUGGAUGAAAGCGGGGGAUCGCAAGACCUCGCGCGAUUGGAGCGGCCGAUAUCAGAUUAGGUAGUUGGUGAGGUAAAGGCUCACCAAGCCGACGAUCUGUAGCUGGUCUGAGAGGACGACCAGCCACACUGGGACUGAGACACGGCCCAGACUCCUACGGAGGCAGCAGUGGGAAUAUGGACAAUGGGCGCAACGCCGUGAUCCAGCAAUGCCGCGUGAGUGAUGAAGG
This 383-nucleotide ribosomal RNA is filed under the name uncultured bacterium. RNAcentral describes it as "bacterial SSU rRNA". It matches the Rfam family "Bacterial small subunit ribosomal RNA", at positions 29 to 414 of the family's 1533-position model. The record is from RNAcentral.